This 471-nucleotide ribosomal RNA is filed under the name Neisseria shayeganii. RNAcentral's name for it is "bacterial SSU rRNA". It matches the Rfam family "Bacterial small subunit ribosomal RNA", at positions 9 to 472 of the family's 1533-position model. Lineage: Bacteria; Pseudomonadati; Pseudomonadota; Betaproteobacteria; Neisseriales; Neisseriaceae. The record is from RNAcentral.
GAGUUUGAUUCUGGCUCAGAUUGAACGCUGGCGGCAUGCUUUACACAUGCAAGUCGGACGGCAGCACAGAGAAGCUUGCUUCUUGGGUGGCGAGUGGCGAACGGGUGAGUAACGCAUCGGAACGUACCGAGUAGUGGGGGAUAACUGUCCGAAAGGAUGGCUAAUACCGCAUACGCUUUGAGAAGGAAAGCGGGGGAUCUUCGGACCUCGCGCUAUUCGAGCGGCCGAUGUCUGAUUAGCUAGUUGGUGGGGUAAAGGCCUACCAAGGCGACGAUCAGUAGCGGGUCUGAGAGGAUGAUCCGCCACACUGGGACUGAGACACGGCCCAGACUCCUACGGGAGGCAGCAGUGGGGAAUUUUGGACAAUGGGCGCAAGCCUGAUCCAGCCAUGCCGCGUGUCUGAAGAAGGCCUUCGGGUUGUAAAGGACUUUUGUCAGGGAAGAAAAGCUUUGGGUUAAUACCCUGGAGUGA